GGGAUGGAUAGAGGAUCAUCAGGAAUGAGAAUAUUGGAACUCCACAUGUGGAUGGGUGUGGCUCAAAAAAUGAGACAUGAACUGAGGCUUUCUCAGCCAGGGCUACUGCUGGGGCACUGGAGAAAAGCAGCCCCUUAGGUCAGCCUGCAGAGUGAGGUGGACCUCAGACCACAUUCACAUUGAUCGGCUGCAAAUUGCUGGUGGGAAAGGGAAUUAGAACAAGCCCUAUGGAAGGCAAUUUGAUAUCAUCUAUCAAAAUUGCAAGUACACAGACCAUUUGACCCAGCAAUCCCACCUCCAGGAAUUUAUCCUCCAGUUUUGUUUUAGGCUGCAAAGUUUAACAUCCUUGAAAUAUCAACUCAAACUCUUGGAUCAACUGAAGUAAAGUUUUCAGAGCCAACUAACUUUAUAAGAAUAAGGACAGUCUUACAAAAGAAGCUAUCCAGAUGCCUCAUUGGUGACUGCUUGAAUGAAUAUUUGAGUACAUGAAAAUGUGAAGCUGUUAUGGACAUCUAUACUCAGAUCACCACAACCACUCUGAAUCUAAUCAGAAAUGGAUAUGUUUGUCUAAAUGGAUUGAAGCCACAGCAUUUCCAAAUUCCAAAUGGCAACCCACCCUGAAGGGGCAAGAGUGUCAGCAAAUCAAAGUGAGAACUGACAAGUGUCAUUUUUGCCGCAAAAACCAAACACUAUGAUUGCACCUCGUGAUAUGAAAAAUUAUAUGCAUUAAUAUGUCUAAGACAUUUCCUUUUUAUUAAAAGUAACAUUUUCAGUCUAAAUUUCUUAAAUUAGUGGUAACAAUUUAAAAACAAAAAGCUCUGUAAACCAAAAAAUUUUCCAGGACAGUUAAUAUAAGUUGAUUAGCUGCAUUUCAAGGAAAUGGAAAGUUGGUAAAAGAAAUUAAGGCCAACAUUAUAAUCUUCUCUAAGGCAGUUCAUUUACUGAGUGGCUUAAUUGUUUUUCAAAUAUCUGGGGAGGGGAAGUUGGCUAAAGGCUUCAUAUUUGCUAUCGUCCUUUUUUAACAAUCCCUCACUAGCACAGAAAUAUAUGGAAGAGCAAUAUCAACAACAAAGUGUGUGAUUAUAGAAAGAGGCUUCUAAGGUAUAUGAUCUCAUGAAAUAAAGCCACAUAUAUAUAUUCUGAUUUCCUACCAUUCAACCCAGCAAUCCCAUUACUGGGUAUAUACCCAAAGGAAUAUAAGUCAUUCUAUUAUAAAGACACAUGCACACGUUCAUUGCAGCACUAUUCACAAUAGCAAAGACAUGGAAUCAACCUAAAUGCCCAUGAAUGAUAGACUGGAUAAAGAAAAAGUGGUAUAUGUACACCAUGGAAUACCAUGCAGCCAUAAUAAAGAACGAGAUCAUGUCCUUUGCAGGGACAUGGAAGGAGCUGGAAGUCAUUAUCCUCAGCAAACUAAUGCAGGAACAGAAAACCAAAUACCACCUGUUCCUACUAAUAAGUAGGAGCUAAAUGAUGAGAACACAUGGACACAUAGAGGGGAACAAUAGACACUGGGGCCUAUCAGAGGAUGGAUGAUGGGAGGAGGGAGAGGAUCAAGAAAAAUAACUAAUGGAUACUAGGCUUAAUACCUGGGUGAUGAAAUAAUCUGUACAACAAAUCCCUAUGACAUAAGUUUACCUAUAUAACAAACCUGCACACGUACUCCCUGAACUUAAAAGUUAAAUUUAAAAAAUUACAAAUA
This is a long non-coding RNA of Homo sapiens (human), 1702 nucleotides long. NCBI's taxonomy places the organism in Eukaryota, Metazoa, Chordata, Mammalia, Primates, Hominidae. The record is from Ensembl.